Molecule: ribosomal RNA, 414 nt
Filed under: uncultured microorganism
Description: bacterial SSU rRNA
Rfam family: Archaeal small subunit ribosomal RNA
Source: RNAcentral
CAGCCGCCGCGGUAAUACCGGCGGCUCGAGUGGUGGCCACUUUUAUUGGGCUUAAAGCGUUCGUAGCUGGGUUGUUAAGUCUCUUGGGAAAUCUGACGGCUCAACCGUCAGGCGUCCAAGGGAUACUGGCAAUCUUGGAACCGGGAGAGGUGCGGGGUACUUCGGGGGUAGGAGUGAAAUCCUGUAAUCCUCGAGGGACCACCUGUGGCGAAGGCGCCUCACCAGAACGGCUUCGACAGUGAGGGACGAAAGCUGGGGGAGCAAACCGGAUUAGAUACCCGGGUAGUCCCAGCCGUAAACGAUGCGCGUUAGGUGUAUCGGUGACCACGAGUCACCGAGGUGCCGAAGGGAAACCGUGAAACGUGCCGCCUGGGAAGUACGGUCGCAAGGCUGAAACUUAAAGGAAUUGGCGGG